GGAGAGGUGGCAGAGUUGGUCGAUUGCGUCUGACUUGAAAUCAGAUGAGCCCUCACGGGCUCCGGAGGUUCGAAUCCUCUCCUCUCCG
This 88-nucleotide transfer RNA is filed under the name Acaryochloris marina MBIC11017. RNAcentral's name for it is "tRNA-Ser (TGA) (tRNA-Ser-TGA-1-1)". It matches the Rfam family "tRNA". From Rfam's summary of the family: Transfer RNA (tRNA) molecules are approximately 80 nucleotides in length. Their secondary structure includes four short double-helical elements and three loops (D, anti-codon, and T loops). Further hydrogen bonds mediate the characteristic L-shaped molecular structure. tRNAs have two regions of fundamental functional importance: the anti-codon, which is responsible for specific mRNA codon recognition, and the 3' end, to which the tRNAs corresponding amino acid is attached (by aminoacyl-tRNA synthetases). tRNAs cope with the degeneracy of the genetic code in two manners: having more than one tRNA (with a specific anti-codon) for a particular amino acid; and 'wobble' base-pairing, i.e. permitting non-standard base-pairing at the 3rd anti-codon position. Lineage: Bacteria; Bacillati; Cyanobacteriota; Cyanophyceae; Acaryochloridales; Acaryochloridaceae. RNAcentral also lists the same sequence under 1 other name. The record is from Rfam by way of RNAcentral.